GGAGGGAAGGACAAGGCGAAGGGCUCUGCGGUCUCCUUCAAGGAGGGCGAGGAGGUGCUCGCCUACCACGGCCCGCCCCUCUAUGAGGCCAAGCCUGUCGUCUUCCUCCACGGGGGUCCUGGGAUGGCACUUCGCCCGACAACUGUGGGUUCUUCGAUCCGGAGUUCUACAUGAUCGUGUUGUUCGACCAGGUUGUUUUCGUUUUGAUCCCCUUGUGUGUCUGUUCACCGGUGUUCCUAGGAGAUCACGGUGCUUAAUCCGCUUGUGUUUGAUUGCAGAAAGGCGCUGGAAGAGCACUUCCCAUGCUUUGUCUAGAGGAGAACACCACCUGGGACUUGGUGGCUGACAUUGAGAAGGCACCAAUUGGCCAAUGAGAUGAAGGAGCUGAAGGAGAUCCACAUGGAGGACACCGAAGAGGAGGAAAUGCAUGACAUCGACAGCUGCGACUUCGGCAACUCCCUUGCGGUUGUUGAAUAUGUGGAUGGAAUUUACAGCUUCUACAGAAGGACCGAGGUCCACUAUAAGUUUGAGCUACUGGGUGAAAUUUUAUUCCUUACUAUCAACAUCAUUGAUAGAUACCUGGCCCGGGAAAAUGUCGCUAGGAAGAAGCUGCUAUUGUUGCUGUUGCAGGUUUAUGGCACUUGCAGGGACAACACAAAUUCCAUCUGUUUUUUUGUCCUAGUAUUUUAGGAAAUCGAUUUGGUCCAACUUGUUUUUGCCCUUGAUCAGUAUCAUUUGUGGUAGCUCCUAAGCAACAUGAUCUUUUUCUUGCUCCGAGAUCCCAAGUGUGGUGUUGUACUUUUGUUGUGCUUGAUUGAUGUCCUGCUAGCUGCUACUGUUAAUUGUUACUGUCAUGAUGUUAACACUGCUUAGAAUAUGUUAUGCACCUUAAUUCUAGUAGUAUUUGUUGUCAAAAGCAUGAUUGUAUUGUGAGCCAUCAAUUUCUUGGAGUCUUCUUAGAGCUUGCUGGUAUUUACUUUUUUCCACCAAUAUAAUAUUUGCUAAUAUUUACUCAUGGUUGCUACUGUUAUCCGUGCCCUCAUGCAUUAGGAUCGACCCCUAGCUGCUUGUGUAUUUGUUUAUUAUUCUGUUCAAUACUCUUUUCCUAGCUGUUGUAUGUUUGAGGAUAUUGCUUUCAUUCUGAAUUCACAGCCAUGAAAAUGAUCGUUUCCUGUCUUUUACAGGAGCUCCAGGCUCAAGAAGUUGGAAAAAGGGAACACUUCAUCUUUGUAGCUAAUUAUAUGUUCCUAGAUGAUGUGAAUGGCUGUUAUAGUAUUUCAUAGCAGCACUUUUGUAGUUGUUCUAAAUUCCUGGAUGAUGUGAACUAUGGCAUGAUUGUAAUAUAUAUAAUAUACUCAU
This is an RNA transcript of Triticum dicoccoides, 1359 nucleotides long. It is a transcript of the gene named cyclin-B2-2-like, with no coding region annotated. NCBI's taxonomy places the organism in Eukaryota, Viridiplantae, Streptophyta, Magnoliopsida, Poales, Poaceae. The transcript is spliced from 4 exons. The record is from RefSeq and is a predicted model, not a curated record.